RNAcentral lists this unclassified non-coding RNA (230 nucleotides) under Hevea brasiliensis (rubber tree). The record is from RNAcentral. Lineage: Eukaryota; Viridiplantae; Streptophyta; Magnoliopsida; Malpighiales; Euphorbiaceae.
ACUGACGUAAAGCGUAAUCAUGUCCGGGGCCGCCAGCUUCGCCUCGGAUUUCCACCACAUGUAGACUUCGGAAUGAUUAUAGUUCGAAGCAGGCAGCGGCGUUGGUGACUCGUAGUUGGGUCCCGCUCCCAGAACGUGGUCUUGAAGAUUUUCGCCCACGCCCUUGAGGUCGACGAUGCUCUUGAUUCCGAGCUUUCCGAGAUCGCUCGCAUUGCCGAUACCAGACAGCA